RNAcentral lists this ribosomal RNA (253 nucleotides) under uncultured bacterium. Its description in RNAcentral is "partial 16S ribosomal RNA". It matches the Rfam family "Bacterial small subunit ribosomal RNA", at positions 524 to 776 of the family's 1533-position model. The record is from RNAcentral.
UACAGGGGGUGCAAACGUUGCUCGGAUUUACUGGGCGUAAAGAGCGUGUAGGCGGCCAAACAGGUCCGUUGUGAAAACUGGAGGCUCAACUUCCAGACGUCGACGGAAACCGUGUGGCUAGAGUCCGGAAGAGGAGAGUGGAAUUCCUGGUGUAGCGGUGAAAUGCGCAGAUAUCAGGAAGAACACCAAUGGCGAAGGCAGCUCUCUGGGACGGUACUGACGCUGAGACGCGAAAGCGUGGGGAGCGAACAGG